This 446-nucleotide ribosomal RNA is filed under the name uncultured bacterium. Its description in RNAcentral is "partial 16S ribosomal RNA". It matches the Rfam family "Bacterial small subunit ribosomal RNA", at positions 338 to 795 of the family's 1533-position model. The record is from RNAcentral.
CCUACGGGGGGCAGCAGUCGAGAAUCAUUCACAAUGGGGGAAACCCUGAUGGUGCGACGCCGCGUGGGGGAAUGAAGGUCUUCGGAUUGUAAACCCCUGUCAUGUGGGAGCAAAUUAAAAAGAUAGUACCACAAGAGGAAGAGACGGCUAACUCUGUGCCAGCAGCCGCGGUAAUACAGAGGUCUCAAGCGUUGUUCGGACUCACUGGGCGUACUGCGUGCGUAGGCUGUUUCGUAAGUCGUGUGUGAACGGCGCGGGCGCAACCCGCGGACGGCACAUGAUACUGCGAGACUAGAGUAAUGGAGGGGGAACCGGAAUGCUCGGUGUAGCAGUGAAAUGCGUAGAUAUCGAGAGGAACACUCGUGGCGAAGGCGGGUUCCUGGACAUUAACUGACGCUGAGGCACGAAGGCCAGGGGAGCGAAAGGGAUUAGAUACCCGAGUAGUC